RNAcentral lists this ribosomal RNA (441 nucleotides) under uncultured bacterium. RNAcentral's name for it is "partial 16S ribosomal RNA". It matches the Rfam family "Bacterial small subunit ribosomal RNA", at positions 338 to 795 of the family's 1533-position model. The record is from RNAcentral.
CCUACGGGAGACAGCAGUGGGGAAUAUUGGGCAAUGGGCGCAAGCCUGACCCAGCAAUGCCGCGUGAAGGAAGAAGGCUUUCGGGUUGUAAACUUCUUUGACAGGGGAAGAGCAGAAGACGGUACCCUGAAAACAAGCCACGGCUAACUACGUGCCAGCAGCUGCGGUAAUACGUAGGUGGCAAGCGUUGUCCGGAUUUACUGGGUGAAAGGGGCGUGUAGCCGGGAAGGAAAGUCAGAUGUGAAAUCUGGAGGCUCAACCUCCAAAUUGCAUUUAAAACGGUUUUUCUUGAGUACUGGGGAGUCAGACGAAAUUCCUGGUGUAGCGUUGAAAGGCGUGGAUAUAAGGAGGAACACCAGUGGCGAGGGCGGUCAGCUGGACGGCAACUGACGGUGGGGCGCAAAGGCGUGGGAGCAAACAGGAUUAGAUACCCUUGUAGUC